GGUCCAGUGGUGUAGUGGUAACACGUUGCGUUCGGACGUGAAGAGGAGUGGUUCAAUUCCUUUCCGUGCCA
This 71-nucleotide transfer RNA is filed under the name Gongylonema pulchrum. It matches the Rfam family "tRNA". Rfam says of the family: Transfer RNA (tRNA) molecules are approximately 80 nucleotides in length. Their secondary structure includes four short double-helical elements and three loops (D, anti-codon, and T loops). Further hydrogen bonds mediate the characteristic L-shaped molecular structure. tRNAs have two regions of fundamental functional importance: the anti-codon, which is responsible for specific mRNA codon recognition, and the 3' end, to which the tRNAs corresponding amino acid is attached (by aminoacyl-tRNA synthetases). tRNAs cope with the degeneracy of the genetic code in two manners: having more than one tRNA (with a specific anti-codon) for a particular amino acid; and 'wobble' base-pairing, i.e. permitting non-standard base-pairing at the 3rd anti-codon position. Lineage: Eukaryota; Metazoa; Nematoda; Chromadorea; Rhabditida; Gongylonematidae. The record is from Rfam by way of RNAcentral.